This 227-nucleotide long non-coding RNA is filed under the name Setaria italica (foxtail millet). Its description in RNAcentral is "long non-coding RNA (SITA_LNC003304)". The record is from RNAcentral. Lineage: Eukaryota; Viridiplantae; Streptophyta; Magnoliopsida; Poales; Poaceae.
AUCAACGUCUACUACAACGAGGCCGGCGGCGGCCGGUUCGUCCCGCGCGCCGUGCUCAUGGACCUCGAGCCCGGGACCAUGGACUCGGUGCGCUCGGGACCCUACGGCCAGAUCUUCCGCCCCGACAACUUCGUCUUCGGCCAGUCCGGCGCCGGCAACAACUGGGCGAAGGGACACUACACCGAGGGCGCAGAGCUCAUCGACUCCGUGCUCGACGUCGUCCGUAA